Molecule: ribosomal RNA, 718 nt
Filed under: uncultured dinoflagellate
Lineage: Eukaryota; Dinophyceae
Description: SSU rRNA
Rfam family: Eukaryotic small subunit ribosomal RNA
Source: RNAcentral
UCGGAAAGCGUAUAUUAAAGUUGUUGCGGUUAUAAGCUCGUAGUUGGAUUUCUGCUGAGGACGACCGGUCCGCCCUGUGGGUGAGUAUCUGGCUUGGCCUUGGCAUCUUCUUGGAGAACGUAGCUGCACUUGACUGUGUGGUGCGGUAUCCAGGACUUUCACUUUGAGGAAAUUAGAGGUUUUCAAGCAGGCACACGCCUUGAAUACAUUAGCAAGGAAUAAUAAGAUAGGACCUUGGUUCUAUUUUGUUGGUUUCUAGAGCUGAGGUAAUGAUUAAUAGGGAUAGAUGGGGGCAUUCGUAUUUAAUUGUCAAAGGUGAACUUCUUGGAUUUGUUAAAGACGGACUACUGCGAAAGCAUUUGCCAAGGAUGUUUUCAUUGAUCAAGAACGAAAGUUAGGGGAUCGAAGACGAUCAGAUACCGUCCUUGUCUUGGCCAUAAACCAUGCCGACUAGAGAUUGGAGGUCGUUAUCUUUACGAUUCCUUCGGCACCUUAUGAGAAAUCAAAGUCUUUGGGUUCCGGGGGGAGUACGGUCGCAAGGCUGAAACUUAAAGGAAUUGACGAAAGGGCACCACCAGGAGUGGAGCCUGCGGCUUAAUUUGAUUCAACACGGGGAAACUCACCAGGUCCAGACAUAGUAAGGAUUGACAGAUUGAUAGCUCUUUCUUGAUUCAAUGGGUGGUGGUGCAUGGCCGUUCUUAGUUAGUGGAAUGAUUUG